Molecule: ribosomal RNA, 507 nt
Filed under: uncultured bacterium
Lineage: Bacteria
Description: partial 16S ribosomal RNA
Rfam family: Bacterial small subunit ribosomal RNA
Source: RNAcentral
AUUGAACGCUGGCGGCACGCCUAACACAUGCAAGUCGAACGGCAGCACAGUAUGUAGCAAUACAUAUGGGUGGCGAGUGGCGGACGGGUGCGUAAUAUGUAGGGAUCUGCCCUGAAGCGGGGGACAACCCGGGGAAACCCGGGCUAAUACCGCAUAAUACUCUACGGAGGAAAUCUGGCACGCAAGUGCUGGGGCUUUAGGAUGAACCUACAUCCGAUUAGCUAGUUGGUGAGGUAAUAGCUCACCAAGGCAAUGAUCGGUAGCUGGUCUGAGAGGAUGACCAGCCACACUGGGACUGAGACACGGCCCAGACUCCUACGGGAGGCAGCAGUGGGGAAUAUUGGACAAUGGGGGAAACCCUGAUCCAGCAAUGCCGCGUGGGUGAAGAAGGCCUUCGGGUUGUAAAGCCCUUUAGGCGGGGAAGAAGGUUAUAGGGUGAUAAGCCUUAUAGCUUGACGGUACCCGCAGAAUAAGCACCGGCUAACUCUGUGCCAGCAGCCGCCGUAA